RNA transcript from Mus musculus (house mouse), 2301 nucleotides. It is a transcript of the gene named polymerase (DNA-directed), delta interacting protein 2, with no coding region annotated. The record is from RefSeq and is marked validated. NCBI's taxonomy places the organism in Eukaryota, Metazoa, Chordata, Mammalia, Rodentia, Muridae. The transcript has 11 exons.
GUGUCAGCAGCCGAGCGGGCGCUCGGGCGGGACAUGGCUGGUUGUGUGGCCCGACGGGCCCUAGCAGUGGGCAGCCGCUGGUGGUCUCGGUCGCUGGCCACGACCCGAGGGUCGAGGCCACUGUGUGCGGUCGGUGGAGCAGGGGGCCUUCCGCCGGUGGCCACAGCGACGACCCGAAGGCAUCUGUCGUCCCGGUGAGGGACGGAGAGAGGGGGCCAGGGAGCCGGGCCCAGAAUCUAGGGAGCGUUUUCUACCUAGCUACUAAGGAAGCCAGGAGGCCUGACUCUGUUUGGGCAGCCGGAGUGCCACCUGAGAAAGGGUCCCGAGGAGAGAGCCGACACGGGCUGCUUGGGACAUGUGCCAAGAGCAAAGAAGGGAGCACUGCCCAGGGCCCUGGCAGUGCAGGGCAGCUCCGAGGGAGAACAAGUAACGCUUCUUAGGCGAAUCCUGCCUCCCAGGCUGGGGUCCCCGGCACCUGGAGUGGGCUGCCAUUUAAUACAACUACAGGGAUCCCCGGGCCCUUUUGGGAACCGUGCAGAGGGCAAAGUGCUGGAGACAGUUGGUGUGUUUGAGGUGCCAAAACAAAAUGGAAAAUAUGAGACUGGGCAGCUAUUCCUCCAUAGUGUUUUUGGCUACCGAGGGGUCGUCCUGUUUCCCUGGCAGGCCAGACUGUAUGACCGGGAUGUGGCUUCUGCAACUCCAGAAAAAGCAGAGAACCCUGCCGGCCAUGGCUCUAAGGAGGUGAAAGGCAAAACUCACACUUACUACCAAGUGCUGAUUGAUGCCCGUGACUGCCCACAUAUAUCUCAGAGAUCUCAGACAGAAGCUGUGACCUUCUUGGCUAACCAUGAUGACAGCCGGGCGCUCUAUGCUAUCCCAGGGUUGGACUAUGUCAGCCAUGAAGACAUCCUCCCCUACACCUCCACGGAUCAGGUUCCCAUUCAACACGAGCUCUUUGAAAGAUUUCUUCUGUAUGACCAGACAAAAGCACCUCCUUUUGUGGCUCGAGAAACGCUGCGGGCCUGGCAAGAGAAGAAUCACCCGUGGCUAGAGCUCUCUGACGUGCACAGGGAGACCACCGAGAACAUCCGCGUCACAGUCAUCCCUUUCUACAUGGGCAUGAGGGAAGCCCAGAAUUCCCACGUCUACUGGUGGCGCUAUUGUAUACGCUUGGAAAACUUGGACAGUGAUGUGGUACAGCUCCGGGAGCGGCACUGGCGGAUAUUCAGUCUCUCAGGGACCCUGGAAACAGUUCGAGGACGAGGGGUGGUGGGCAGGGAACCAGUGUUAUCCAAGGAGCAGCCUGCAUUCCAGUAUAGCAGCCAUGUCUCUCUGCAAGCUUCCAGUGGGCACAUGUGGGGCACAUUUCGUUUUGAGAGACCGGAUGGCUCCCACUUUGAUGUCCGGAUCCCACCAUUCUCCUUGGAAAGCAAUAAAGAUGAGAAGACCCCACCCUCAGGCCUUCACUGGUAGGCCAGCUGAGGCCCAGGUUGGCCCUAAGAACAACAGCUCUCAACCCAUAAUUGCUGCAGAACUCUAAACCUCUCCCUACUGUGAAAUUCUUUUUUUGGAGGGAGAUUGUAACUUUUCUUGGAAGACCCACAUAAGACUCCUCCAAGGUUGGCCUUGGCCGCUGUCCAGGACACCACGUUCCAGCAAAGCUGUCAGGGAACUGUUCAGUUGUCCCAUGUUUUCUGGAAUGUGAGGUGUGGUCAAUAAACCAGUGCUCACUUGGCCACCACGGCCAUUUUUGUCUCCAGGGUCUCAGGCCCCCUUGCUGGCCCUUUAGGAACUCUUAGUUGCUUUUCAUGCAAAGUUUCUUCUAGGGAGCUGCUGGCCCUGCUAGGGUGCGCCUUCCUCAGAGGCUGGACAUCUUGGGGCACUGGUAACAGUGAGCAGCACUGGACUAAGUUCCGGGUCUCUCUACCCUCCGCCCAGUGUAGAGGAGGCCAGUGUAGAGUUGGACUGACCUGACUAUAGACACGGAUUACCCACCAGCACUUCUGGCUUCACUAGGCCUGGAGAAGAGUGAGGCAAAACCAGUCAGGUUUCUGGGAACUGUGGGCUUCUGAGCAUUGAGCAAAGCCUGUCAAGCAUCCAGACCACAGGGGCAGGAAUUCAGCCAAGAAGCAGCUUAAGUUAUGGUCAGUGACCAAGUCAAGCUGCUUUUGGAGCUUCUUUCAGGCCAACAGGAGCCAGAGAAUUGGACUGCAUUUUGCCCCAGGUCUUAGGAUUCCUUCACCACUAUAGUUACUGUUAGAGGUCCUUUCAUUCUUGCAUUAUUAAAUCUCAGUUCUAGUC